This 645-nucleotide ribosomal RNA is filed under the name uncultured bacterium. Its description in RNAcentral is "bacterial SSU rRNA". It matches the Rfam family "Bacterial small subunit ribosomal RNA", at positions 72 to 733 of the family's 1533-position model. The record is from RNAcentral.
UUCGGAUGGAAUCCAAAUUGACUGAGUGGCGGACGGGUGAGUAACGCGUGGGUAACCUGCCUCACACUGGGGGACAACAGCUGGAAACGGCUGCUAAUACCGCAUAAGCGCACAGCUUCGCAUGGAGCAGUGUGAAAAACUCCGGUGGUGUGAGAUGGACCCGCGUCUGAUUAGCUAGUUGGUAAGGUAACGGCUUACCAAGGCGACGAUCAGUAGCCGACCUGAGAGGGUGACCGGCCACAUUGGGACUGAGACACGGCCCAAACUCCUACGGGAGGCAGCAGUGGGGAAUAUUGCACAAUGGGGGAAACCCUGAUGCAGCGACGCCGCGUGAGUGAAGAAGUAUUUCGGUAUGUAAAGCUCUAUCAGCAGGGAAGAAAAUGACGGUACCUGACUAAGAAGCCCCGGCUAACUACGUGCCAGCAGCCGCGGUAAUACGUAGGGGGCAAGCGUUAUCCGGAUUUACUGGGUGUAAAGGGAGCGUAGACGGCGAAGCAAGUCUGAAGUGAAAGCCCGGGGCUCAACCGCGGGACUGCUUUGGAAACUGUUUUGCUAGAGUGCUGGAGAGGUAAGUGGAAUUCCUAGUGUAGCGGUGAAAUGCGUAGAUAUUAGGAGGAACACCAGUGGCGAAGGCGGCUUACUGGA